CUGAUAUAAUUGCUAUUGAGGCUGUGCCAAUCGACCAAAUUGACCAAAGCUUAGUUCAAAAGGGGCUUGCAGAGUUCACUCAGAAGCUGAGCACAGCUACAACUGACUUGGAGAAAGCUGAGGCCCAGAUUGGUGUUGAUGUUCACAGUGCUCUUAACUCUGCUCUCACAGGCUAAGGGUCCUCUGCAUAAUGCCUCCAGUUCUUUUUCACUUUAUGCCCUUUUGUGCUUCAUUGGCUUUUUAAUCUUUUUUGGUUCUUCAUAAUCUGUAAACUGCAUAGGCCUGUUAUCGCUUCGCCUUGUUUGUCAGAAAGGUAAAUAAAGCAAUGCAUUUACUUUGUUCACCAAGACAUCCCUUGGCAUGGGAUGUUGCUAG
RNAcentral lists this unclassified non-coding RNA (375 nucleotides) under Hevea brasiliensis (rubber tree). The record is from RNAcentral. Lineage: Eukaryota; Viridiplantae; Streptophyta; Magnoliopsida; Malpighiales; Euphorbiaceae.